AUUGAACGCUGGCGGCAUGCCUUACACAUGCAAGUCGAACGGCAGCACGGACUUCGGUCUGGCGGCGAGUGGCGAACGGGUGAGUAAUGUAUCGGAACGUACCUUUCAGUGGGGGGAUAACGUAGCGAAAGUUACGCUAAUACCGCAUAUUCUGUGAGCAGGAAAGCAGGGGAUCGCAAGACCUUGCGCUGAUUGAGCGGCCGAUAUCAGAUUAGCUAGUUGGUGAGGUAAAGGCUCACCAAGGCGACGAUCUGUAGCGGGUCUGAGAGGAUGAUCCGCCACACUGGAACUGAGACACGGUCCAGACUCCUACGGGAGGCAGCAGUGGGGAAUUUUGGACAAUGGGGGCAACCCUGAUCCAGCCAUGCCGCGUGAGUGAAGAAGGCCUCGG
RNAcentral lists this ribosomal RNA (391 nucleotides) under uncultured bacterium. RNAcentral's name for it is "bacterial SSU rRNA". It matches the Rfam family "Bacterial small subunit ribosomal RNA", at positions 30 to 420 of the family's 1533-position model. The record is from RNAcentral.